CUUCGAUUUGAAAUCUAGGUUUUAUGAAAUUUUUUUUAUUUUUUAUUUUUUAUUUUUGGGCGUUUGAAAUCUAGGUUUCAUGAUUUUUUAUUUUUUUUGAUUAAUGAUGAACAAUUGAAAUUUUGAAUGCAAUUAGGGUUGGUGUGUGAACCAUCAAAUAGUUGAAUUUUAAUUUUUGGGCGUUUGAAGGCGUUGUUCUGGUUGAUGCGAAGCCAUGGUUCCGUUUGAAUACAAGCCGUAUUUGGAUUCCAAAACAUUGUAAGUGUAAAUUCGAUUUGUUUUGUUGAAUGGGAUAAUUAUUGAAGGUUUACAUUGUUGAAGGUGUAUAUGUGUGUGUGUUACUUUAUUUAGGGUUGGUUUAUGAGUUGAUUGUUUGCAUUAAUUUGGUUUAUGUGUGUGGGAAUUGAGCUUAUUGUCUAUUUAGAAAUUGUCUGAGGUUGUUUUACUAGAAUCACAUUCAGAGGUUUAGUUCUUUGGAUUCUUUGCUUGGGAAAAAUCUUGUCUUUCUUCAGGUAUAAUAAUUUACACUGCAUUUUUAUUUUAUUUUCAGAAAAUUUCAUGGAUUGGUGUUGAAAUAUUUUAUUUAAUUACUUUAUUAUGGGGUUGUGAUUUUGUUGAAUGAUGCUGAAAUCCCAUGUUUUAUUUUUGUAAGUAGUUUUAAAUGGGGUUGUGUUUCUGUUGUGAUUCAUGUGGAAAUCUGUAAAAAACAAAAAUUAGUUUUUGUGGGUUUUUGUCAAGUAUAACAUAGAAAAAAAUUAAGUCUUUUUUUUUUUUAAACCUAUGACUUAUGGUGUGGAUUUUGUCUAUAUUUGUAUGAUUUAUGCUUAAUAAUAUUAGUGUGGGUAUAAUUUAUUAGGGAAAAUGUUCGCUUUUGAUUGAUGCUGAUAAUAAUAUUUUAGUAGGGUGUGGAGCAGUGUCUACUGUUUGGACAAAACCUUAAUUACUCAGCUUGUCUUGGUUGAUCCAAACAGAGAAAUUCAGGAAAAGAUGAAUCAAGGCCCUUCCAGACAGAAUCCAAAGGAUCCUAAUGUGAAUGUUGCUGAACAAUCCACACGCAAGUUUAAAGAGCUUAUUUCAUGUUUGCUGCAAGAUGUAAAUUCCUUAGGCUAACGAGAUCUCUGUUGUUGCCGAAGAAGAGUUCAACAUUGAGAAAUUGCAGUUAGUUGCAGCAGAGAAGAAGAAGAUCAGGCAGGAGUAUGAGCGUAAGGAGAAACGAGCUGAAGUUUGCCAUGUGAGUAAUUUAUCUGUUGUUUAUCGAUUGAAUUGCUGCUUACUUCGUUGCUUAAUUUCAUCAGUCGAAUUAGUAAAGGCAGAAAUUGGUUUGCUUCAGGAUAAUGUGGAUAUCUCAUCAACUUUUUCUUAAAUGUUUUGUGCUAUAUGUGAGUGGCUAGCUGUGAAGGAUCUUAGCAAUAUCAAAUAAUUGGGUGAUGACCGAACAUGGCUGAAUUGACAAAAUGAUCCUUCUUUAGUGUUCAUUUGAUUAAAAAUAUAGAAUUACAUAGAUAGUUCAACUUCCUAAGAUGUACUCCAUCUGUUUGUUUGUGAAAAACACUGCAACU
Molecule: long non-coding RNA, 1559 nt
Organism: Chenopodium quinoa (quinoa)
Lineage: Eukaryota; Viridiplantae; Streptophyta; Magnoliopsida; Caryophyllales; Amaranthaceae
Exons: 4
Source: RefSeq, a predicted model, not a curated record